This is a long non-coding RNA of Dermacentor andersoni, 518 nucleotides long. RefSeq lists it as uncharacterized. Lineage: Eukaryota; Metazoa; Arthropoda; Arachnida; Ixodida; Ixodidae. The record is from RefSeq and is a predicted model, not a curated record.
UCCCUAUAUAAGUAACACCGCGAAAUAGUUCACAAGGUAGAGGCACGGUCCUAAGCAGCCGACUUGUGAAACAGAAGUGAAUUAAAAGGCUCUUGCCCUACACAUAACAGGAUGAAGAUUGCAGCAUUUGUGGUUAUUCUAGCGGCGCAAGUGGCGUGUGUCGUGUCUAACGACAAUGAACAGUGUGGAUUGAAAGUCCAACAGGGUUCUUGCAGAUUUUUCGGACGAACAGUUUAUCCAACGGGAUCUAUUCUGGACAAAACCCAUUGCCUCCUUUAUACGUGUCAAAAUGGCUAUAAUCCGCAGGGCAGACUUACCGGGUGCCCGGUUACUGAGGCCACUACUUCAACAAUGCAGGAGCUGAAAGCAUGUUGUGAGAAAUGCACAUGAGUUUGGAAUGAAAUGGUUUAACAUGCUUCGCUACUUGACAUGUUACAUUCAAGACCUUUUUGUUCGGUUACGGCCGCAAUACGUGUUUGUUUUUUGUGUUUCUUUAAUAAAUAUUCGGCGUUUUCCUA